Molecule: ribosomal RNA, 1445 nt
Filed under: uncultured organism
Description: SSU rRNA
Rfam family: Bacterial small subunit ribosomal RNA
Source: RNAcentral
GGCUCAGGAUGAACGCUAGCUACAGGCUUAACACAUGCAAGUCGAGGGGCAUCAGGAAGAAAGCUUGCUUUCUUUGCUGGCGACCGGCGCACGGGUGAGUAACACGUAUCCAACCUGCCCUUUACUCGGGGAUAGCCUUUCGAAAGAAAGAUUAAUAUCCGAUGGUAUAUUAAAACCGCAUGGUUUUACUAUUAAAGAAUUUCGGUUAUCGAUGGGGAUGCGUUCCAUUAGUUUGUUGGCGGGGUAACGGCCCACCAAGACUACGAUGGAUAGGGGUUCCGAGAGGAAGGUCCCCCACAUUGGAACUGAGACACGGUCCAAACUCCUACGGGAGGCAGCAGUGAGGAAUAUUGGUCAAUGGACGAGAGUCUGAACCAGCCAAGUAGCGUGAAGGAUGACUGCCCUAUGGGUUGUAAACUUCUUUUAUAUGGGAAUAAAGUAUUCCACGUGUGGGAUUUUGUAUGUACCAUAUGAAUAAGGAUCGGCUAACUCCGUGCCAGCAGCCGCGGUAAUACGGAGGAUCCGAGCGUUAUCCGGAUUUAUUGGGUUUAAAGGGAGCGUAGGUGGAUUGUUAAGUCAGUUGUGAAAGUUUGCGGCUCAACCGUAAAAUUGCAGUUGAAACUGGCAGUCUUGAGUACAGUAGAGGUGGGCGGAAUUCGUGGUGUAGCGGUGAAAUGCUUAGAUAUCACGAAGAACUCCGAUUGCGAAGGCAGCUCACUAGACUGCAACUGACACUGAUGCUCGAAAGUGUGGGUAUCAAACAGGAUUAGAUACCCUGGUAGUCCACACAGUAAACGAUGAAUACUCGCUGUUUGCGAUAUACAGUAAGCGGCCAAGCGAAAGCAUUAAGUAUUCCACCUGGGGAGUACGCCGGCAACGGUGAAACUCAAAGGAAUUGACGGGGGCCCGCACAAGCGGAGGAACAUGUGGUUUAAUUCGAUGAUACGCGAGGAACCUUACCCGGGCUUAAAUUGCAUUUGAAUAAUCUGGAAACAGGUUAGCCGCAAGGCAAAUGUGAAGGUGCUGCAUGGUUGUCGUCAGCUCGUGCCGUGAGGUGUCGGCUUAAGUGCCAUAACGAGCGCAACCCUUAUCUUUAGUUACUAACAGGUCAUGCUGAGGACUCUAGAGAGACUGCCGUCGUAAGAUGUGAGGAAGGUGGGGAUGACGUCAAAUCAGCACGGCCCUUACGCCCGGGGCUACACACGUGUUACAAUGGGGGGUACAGAAGGCAGCUACCUGGUGACAGGAUGCUAAUCCCAAAAGCCUCUCUCAGUUCGGAUCGAAGUCUGCAACCCGACUUCGUGAAGCUGGAUUCGCUAGUAAUCGCGCAUCAGCCACGGCGCGGUGAAUACGUUCCCGGGCCUUGUACACACCGCCCGUCAAGCCAUGGGAGCCGGGGGUACCUGAAGUACGUAACCGCAAGGAUCGUCCUAGGGUAAAACUGG